RNAcentral lists this long non-coding RNA (468 nucleotides) under Mytilus galloprovincialis (Mediterranean mussel). Lineage: Eukaryota; Metazoa; Mollusca; Bivalvia; Mytilida; Mytilidae. The record is from RNAcentral.
UCCAGAAAGAUCAUUAAAAUAAAAUACCAAGUUUACACAAUAAAAGAUUGGAAAGACAAUAAAGAAACAGACUAGAUAGAAAGAGAUAGAAAUUAAGGUUAAAGGUUGAAAUACAAUAAUACAAAUGAGGGAUUUGGGACUUUGUACAGCAGUAUCUCACAGUUUUGACAUUUAGCACUUUAUAAGAGUUAAUUCUAUAAACUGUAAUUCCUUUACCUGAUCCAUUAUAAUAUGCAGUUUUAAUUAAAAUUCUAAUAUCAACAGGAUACUGCUUCAUUGUAAAUUUUUCUUUGCUCUCAAAGCAUUGCAUAAAAGUCUAUAAAAAUACCUGUUUUAUGUUCAAAACCAGGUUUAUCUAAUUGCAUUGCAGCAGAUUUUUUUUAAUGAUUGCAUGAUGUUUAUUUUAAAUUAUUGCAUAUACAUUGUAUUAGCACUUUUUCCACUGUAAAAAUAAUGAAACAACACCUU